Long non-coding RNA from Penaeus indicus, 857 nucleotides. RefSeq lists it as uncharacterized. The transcript is spliced from 4 exons. NCBI's taxonomy places the organism in Eukaryota, Metazoa, Arthropoda, Malacostraca, Decapoda, Penaeidae. The record is from RefSeq and is a predicted model, not a curated record.
GCUGAACAUCUGUUGUGAACGUACUAACGCCGUGUUCAGAGCCAACUAGAGGAGUUUUUAGGAUAGUGCACAGUUCUGUAGAACAAGAAAAAUGAAACUGUAUAUCGCCGUCUGCUUUGCAAUUAUAACACAAAUGCACUUCAGCGUUCCCGCAUGUGUAGACAUUGAAGUGGACGGCCCGUUUUAUGCCGGAGGCCGCGACGCAGGUAUGCCGUUGGUGGGUAUGCUAACAGGCGUCGGCGGUAACCGACCGAGGCCUCCGAAUCGAGUUGGGUCCGACGAAGCGGUGUCUCCUGUACGGUGAUAACGGCCGCUGUGUCUAUUGGUCGGGAAAUGGAUAAUUUUGUUUGGUUUUAGAAUAAUUGUUUUGUUCGGUUUAUGUUCAAUUCAGUUCUGAUGCGCCUUUUUUCUAUUGUCUUUCCUCUUUUUUUCUUGGAUUUGCUUUGUUCGUCCUGUUUAUUUCAUUUCGUUUGUAAUUUCACUACUGAUUUUUUUUUCUUAGUUUUUAGUUGUAGUUUACAUUUAGUUCAGUUCAGAUUUUGUAAAUUUCAAAACAUAUUGGUUAACAGUUUGUGUUCCGUUCAUUUCAAAUCAGCCUUUUGAAUUCCCAUUCAGAUUAAUGUUUCAUUUUAAUUCAAUUCAGUUUGGAUUCGUUUCUUUGUCGUUUAAGUUAGUAAAUUUCCUUUUAAAGUUCAUCUCAGUAAUUCGUUUGGUUCCACUUGGAUCACUUCUGAGAAAUGUGCAAUUGCUCCAAAACUUUAUCAAGGAAGAAAUGUUUUCCUUCUCUCAAUAUGAACACGAUGUGUCCAUUUUGUGUGUUUUAUAACCUGUUAUUCUAAAUAAAUAUUUACCUGUUC